AAAAGGCUGUGGGAGUUGAGAUCAAAAAUGGGCUAAAAGCCUCCAGAGGUAAACACUGCUUAGCCUUGGACAGGAGUAUAGCCACAGAAGUGUGUGGCAAGCUGCAGUAACUAAAGGCCCAGAAAUAGAGGAUUGAAAAGGGGAGUCCCAAGGAACAUACUGAGCGGAUUGGGGAGAAGGAGGAGCCAGGCUUUCAUAUGAUUGGAUGACAUGUAAAGCAUUAAGUUGUGUCAAUUGUAAUAAUUUGAGACAUCAGCAAGAUUUUUCAUGCCUCUCUCCUGGAGAUUAUCUCUGGAUCAGAUGCUAGAUCUUGACUUCUGUUAUCCUGGAGUGAGUCAAAAGAAAUUUGAAAUGGAGAGGAGACCAAAAUAACAGGGCCUUCAAUUCAGCCCAGAGACUAGGGGCAGAAACAUGCAACGGAGCUCUGAAAUGGACUGUGACUGGCUUAGACCUGAAGUGACAAAGACCCAGUCAGUGUGCCCAGGUGGGGCCUGGAGAAGGAGGACGGGGAAGGAACGGGCCAGCCUGCACCUUUAUCAUUUUCCUUGAUCCUGUGCCCCAGCUGAGGAACUCCCCAGCCUGUGCCGAGAAUACGUUCCUCGAGGACCACUUUUCAAACAGCCCUGUAGAGGGCGCGGUUUCCUCGUCCCAGAGGCUUCCAGGGUUCAGGCAGGCUCUGAAGGCUUUUCCAUCCGUCUGAUAAUCUCUUCGAAGCACUGAGGAAGCACCGUGGGGAGUAUCAAGAAGCACAGGAGGGCCUCCUCGGACUGUGAGAAACUCCGGGCAUAGUUCUAGGGAAGAAGACAAAGACAUGGACCUGUUGCAGUGGUUCCAAGACAUAUUCAAGUUCACGGCCAAGGCAGCCUGCAGAUUCUGGAUGCUUAGGAAUUCAGAAGAGGUCUGGACUGGUCCCAACAGUCUCUAAGGAAGGUGUCAAAGAGGUGAUGGCAUUGGGAGCAGACCUUAAUGGAUGAGAUGAUUUGGGGACUAACGCCAAGACAAGCAGAUGCAGAAGAUGGCAAGGUCUUGUUAAAGCCUCUUGUUUUUAAAUUAAAAUUAAAAUUCAACAUAUUUGAAUUGUUUACUUUUAAAUGGCUAAUUUUUAUUAUGUGACUUUUGCCUCAAUUAAAAACUACAUGAGAUAGCUA
RNAcentral lists this long non-coding RNA (1148 nucleotides) under Equus caballus (horse). RNAcentral describes it as "lncRNA (ENSECAG00000046052.1)". Lineage: Eukaryota; Metazoa; Chordata; Mammalia; Perissodactyla; Equidae. The record is from RNAcentral.